AAUAGAUACCCGGGUAGUCCACGCCGUAAACGGUGGGCACUAGGUGUGGGCGACAUUCCACGUCGUCCGUGCCGCAGCUAACGCAUUAAGUGCCCCGCCUGGGGAGUACGGCCGCAAGGCUAAAAACUCAAAGGAAUUGACGGGGGGCCCGCACAAGCGGCGGAGCAUGUGGCUUAAUUCGACGCAACGCGAAGAACCUUACCAAGGCUUGACAUACACCGGAAAGCAUCAGAGAUGGUGCCCCCCUUGUGGUCGGUGUACAGGUGGUGCAUGGCUGUCGUCAGCUCGUGUCGUGAGAUGUUGGGUUAAGUCCCGCAACGAGCGCAACCCUUGUCCCGUGUUGCCAGCAGGCCCUUGUGGUGCUGGGGACUCACGGGAGACCGCCGGGGUCAACGUCGGAGGAAGGUGGGGACGACGUCAAGUCAUCAUGCCCCGUUAUGUCUUGGGCUGCACACGUGCUACAAUGGCCGGUACAAUGAGCUGCGAUACCGCGAGGUGGAGCGAAUCUCAAAAACGGCCGGUCUCAGUUCGGAUUGGGGU
This 540-nucleotide ribosomal RNA is filed under the name uncultured bacterium. RNAcentral describes it as "bacterial SSU rRNA". It matches the Rfam family "Bacterial small subunit ribosomal RNA", at positions 777 to 1304 of the family's 1533-position model. The record is from RNAcentral.